AUUGAACGCUGGCGGCAUGCCUUACACAUGCAAGUCGAACGGUAACAGGUCUUCGGAUGCUGACGAGUGGCGAACGGGUGAGUAAUACAUCGGAACGUGCCUAGUAGUGGGGGAUAACUACUCGAAAGAGUGGCUAAUACCGCAUGAGAUCUACGGAUGAAAGCAGGGGAUCGCAAGACCUUGUGCUACUAGAGCGGCCGAUGCAGAUUAGGUAGUUGGUGGGAUAAAAGCUUACCAAGCCGACGAUCUGUAGCUGGUCUGAGAGGGCGAUAAGCCACACUGGGACUGAGACACGGCCCAGACUCCUACGGGAGGCAGCAGUGGGGAAGUUUGGACAAUGGGCGAAAGCCUGAUCCAGCAAUGCCGCGUGCAGGAUGAAGGCCUUCGGGUUGUAAACUGCUUUUGUACGGAACGAAAAGCCCCGGGUUAAUACCCUGGGGUCAUGACGGUACCGUAAGAAUAAGCACUGGCUAACUACGUGCCAGCCGUCGCGGUAA
Molecule: ribosomal RNA, 497 nt
Filed under: uncultured bacterium
Lineage: Bacteria
Description: partial 16S ribosomal RNA
Rfam family: Bacterial small subunit ribosomal RNA
Source: RNAcentral